This 500-nucleotide ribosomal RNA is filed under the name uncultured bacterium. RNAcentral's name for it is "partial 16S ribosomal RNA". It matches the Rfam family "Bacterial small subunit ribosomal RNA", at positions 28 to 523 of the family's 1533-position model. The record is from RNAcentral.
GAUGAACGCUGGCGGCGUGCCUAACACAUGCAAGUCGAGCGAGAAAUUUUAAAGCGAAACUUCGGUCUAGCGAUAAAAUGGAAAGCGGCGGACGGGUGAGUAACGCGUAGGCAACCUGCCCUUUACAGAGGGAUAGCCUCGGGAAACCGGGAUUAAAACCUCAUAACGCAUUUUAAACACAUGUUUGAGAUGCCAAAGAUUUAACGGUAAGGGAUGGGCCUGCGUCUGAUUAGCUAGUUGGUAAGGUAACGGCUUACCAAGGCAACGAUCAGUAGCCGACCUGAGAGGGUAAUCGGCCACAUUGGAACUGAGACACGGUCCAAACUCCUACGGGAGGCAGCAGUGGGGAAUAUUGCACAAUGGGCGAAAGCCUGAUGCAGCAACGCCGCGUGAGCGAAGAAGGCCUUUGGGUCGUAAAGCUCUGUCGGAAGGGAAGAAACAAAUGACGGUACCUUCUGAGGAAGCCCCGGCUAACUACGUGCCUGCAGCCGCCGCAGUAA